RNAcentral lists this ribosomal RNA (492 nucleotides) under uncultured bacterium. RNAcentral describes it as "partial 16S ribosomal RNA". It matches the Rfam family "Bacterial small subunit ribosomal RNA", at positions 29 to 507 of the family's 1533-position model. The record is from RNAcentral.
AGUGAACGCUGGCGGUAGGCCUAACACAUGCAAGUCGAACGGCAGCACAGUAAGAGCUUGCUCUUACGGGUGGCGAGUGGCGGACGGGUGAGGAAUACAUCGGAAUCUACUUUUUCGUGGGGGAUAACGUAGGGAAACUUACGCUAAUACCGCAUACGACCUACGGGUGAAAGCAGGGGAUCUUCGGACCUUGCGCGAUUGAAUGAGCCGAUGUCGGAUUAGCUAGUUGGCGGGGUAAAGGCCCACCAAGGCGACGAUCCGUAGCUGGUCUGAGAGGAUGAUCAGCCACACUGGAACUGAGACACGGUCCAGACUCCUACGGGAGGCAGCAGUGGGGAAUAUUGUACAAUGAGCGCAAGCCUGAUGCAGCCAUACCGCGUGGGUGAAGAAGGCAUUCGGGUUGUAAAGCCCUUUUGUAGGGAAAGAAAAGCAGCAGGUUAAUACCCCGCUGUUCUGACGGUACCCAAAGAAUAAGCACCGGCUAACUUCGUG